GUUGUAUGGUUAAGUGACUAAGCGUACACGGUGGAUGCCUUGGCAGUCAGAGGCGAUGAAAGACGUAGUAACUUGCGAUAAGCCCAGAUUAGGUAGUAACAACCAUUUGAGUCUGGGAUUUCUGAAUGGGGAAACCCACGUGCAUAAGCACGUAUCCUUACCUGAAUACAUAGGGUAAGGAGGCGAACCGGGGGAACUGAAACAUCUAAGUACCCCGAGGAAAAGAAAUCAACCGAGAUUCCGAAAGUAGCGGCGAGCGAAAUUGGACUAGCCCUUAAGCUUUACACGCGUUAGACGAACGGUCUGGAAAGUCCGACGAUACAGGGUGAUAGUCCCGUAGUUGACGACGUGUGUUCAGUGAAAUCGAGUAGGGCGGGACACGUGAUAUCCUGUCUGAAUAUGGGGGGACCAUCCUCCAAGGCUAAAUACUACUGACUGACCGAUAGUGAACCAGUACCGUGAGGGAAAGGCGAAAAGAACCCCUGUGAGGGGAGUGAAAUAGAACCUGAAACCGUGUACGUACAAGCAGUAGGAGCAGGCUUGUCCUGUGACUGCGUACCUUUUGUAUAAUGGGUCAGCGACUUAUAUUCAGUGGCAAGGUUAACCAUCUAGGGGAGCCGUAGGGAAACCGAGUCUUAACUGGGCGUUCAGUCUCUGGAUAUAGACCCGAAACCAGGUGAUCUAGCCAUGGGCAGGUUGAAGGUUGAGUAACAUCAACUGGAGGACCGAACCGACUAAUGUUGAAAAAUUAGCGGAUGACUUGUGGCUAGGGGUGAAAGGCCAAUCAAACCUGGAGAUAGCUGGUUCUCCCCGAAAGCUAUUUAGGUAGCGCCUCGGACGAAUACUACUGGGGGUAGAGCACUGUUAAGGCUAGGGGGUCAUCCCGACUUACCAACCCUUUGCAAACUCCGAAUACCAGUAAGUACUAUCCGGGAGACACACGGCGGGUGCUAACGUCCGUCGUGGAGAGGGAAACAACCCAGACCGCCAGCUAAGGUCCCAAAUUACUACUAAGUGGGAAACGAUGUGGGAAGGCUCAGACAGCCAGGAUGUUGGCUUAGAAGCAGCCAUCAUUUAAAGAAAGCGUAAUAGCUCACUGGUCGAGUCGGCCUGCGCGGAAGAUGUAACGGGGCUAAGUAGUAAACCGAAGCUGCGGCAAUAUACUUUUGUAUAUUGGGUAGGGGAGCGUUCUGUAAGCGGUUGAAGGUGUGUGGUAACGCAUGCUGGACGUAUCAGAAGUGCGAAUGCUGACAUGAGUAACGAUAAAGGGGGUGAAAAACCUCCUCGCCGGAAGACCAAGGGUUCCUGUCCAACGUUAAUCGGGGCAGGGUAAGUCGACCCCUAAGGCGAGGCUGAAAGGCGUAGUCGAUGGGAAACGGGUUAAUAUUCCCGUACUUCUUACAAUUGCGAUGGGGGGACGGAGAAGGCUAGGUGGGCCUGGCGACGGUUGUCCAGGUUCAAGUGCGUAGGCUUAAGAGUUAGGUAAAUCCGGCUCUUUUUAAGGCUGAGACACGACGUCGAGCACCUACGGGUGUGAAGUCAUUGAUGCCAUGCUUCCAGGAAAAGCCUCUAAGCUUCAGAUUGUAAGGAAUCGUACCCCAAACCGACACAGGUGGUCGGGUAGAGAAUACCAAGGCGCUUGAGAGAACUCGGGUGAAGGAACUAGGCAAAAUGGUACCGUAACUUCGGGAGAAGGUACGCUCUUGAUGGUGAAGUCCCUUGCGGAUGGAGCUGACGAGAGUCGCAGAUACCAGGUGGCUGCAACUGUUUAUUAAAAACACAGCACUGUGCAAAAUCGUAAGAUGACGUAUACGGUGUGACGCCUGCCCGGUGCCGGAAGGUUAAUUGAUGGGGUUAGACUUCGGUCGAAGCUCUUGAUCGAAGCCCCGGUAAACGGCGGCCGUAACUAUAACGGUCCUAAGGUAGCGAAAUUCCUUGUCGGGUAAGUUCCGACCUGCACGAAUGGCGUAAUGAUGGCCACGCUGUCUCCACCCGAGACUCAGUGAAAUUGAAAUCGCUGUGAAGAUGCAGUGUACCCGCGGCUAGACGGAAAGACCCCGUGAACCUUUACUACAGCUUGGCACUGAACAUUGACCCUACAUGUGUAGGAUAGGUGGGAGGCUUUGAAGCA
RNAcentral lists this ribosomal RNA (2131 nucleotides) under Vibrio parahaemolyticus. Its description in RNAcentral is "bacterial LSU rRNA". It matches the Rfam family "Bacterial large subunit ribosomal RNA", at positions 1 to 2164 of the family's 2925-position model. The record is from RNAcentral. Lineage: Bacteria; Pseudomonadati; Pseudomonadota; Gammaproteobacteria; Vibrionales; Vibrionaceae.